CCUACGGGAGGCUGCAGUGGGGAAUAUUGCACAAUGGGGGAAACCCUGAUGCAGCGCCGCCGCGUGAAGGAAGAAGGUUUUCGGAUCGUAAACUUCUAUCAGCGGGGAAGAAGAAAGUGACAGUACCUGACUAAGAAGCCCCGGCUAACUACGUGCCAGCAGCCGCGGUAAUACGUAGGGGGCAAGCGUUAUCCGGAAUCACUGGGCGUAAAGGGUGCGUAGGCGGCCAAUUAAGCCAGAGGUGAAAGGCUACGGCUCAACCGUAGUAAGCCUUUGGAACUGAAUGGCUUGAGUGCAGGAGAGGAGAGUGGAAUUCCCAGUGUAGCGGUGAAAUGCGUAGAUAUUGGGAGGAACACCAGUUGCGAAGGCGGCUCUCUGGACUGUAACUGACGCUGAGGCACGAAAGCGUGGGGAGCGAACAGGAUUAGAUACCCGUGUAGUC
This 442-nucleotide ribosomal RNA is filed under the name uncultured bacterium. RNAcentral describes it as "bacterial SSU rRNA". It matches the Rfam family "Bacterial small subunit ribosomal RNA", at positions 338 to 795 of the family's 1533-position model. The record is from RNAcentral.